Molecule: ribosomal RNA, 1507 nt
Filed under: Staphylococcus aureus
Lineage: Bacteria; Bacillati; Bacillota; Bacilli; Caryophanales; Staphylococcaceae
Description: partial 23S ribosomal RNA
Rfam family: Bacterial large subunit ribosomal RNA
Source: RNAcentral
GGUGAAAAGCACCCCGGAAGGGGAGUGAAAUAGAACCUGAAACCGUGUGCUUACAAGUAGUCAGAGCCCGUUAAUGGGUGAUGGCGUGCCUUUUGUAGAAUGAACCGGCGAGUUACGAUUUGAUGCAAGGUUAAGCAGUAAAUGUGGAGCCGUAGCGAAAGCGAGUCUGAAUAGGGCGUUUAGUAUUUGGUCGUAGACCCGAAACCAGGUGAUCUACCCUUGGUCAGGUUGAAGUUCAGGUAACACUGAAUGGAGGACCGAACCGACUUACGUUGAAAAGUGAGCGGAUGAACUGAGGGUAGCGGAGAAAUUCCAAUCGAACCUGGAGAUAGCUGGUUCUCUCCGAAAUAGCUUUAGGGCUAGCCUCAAGUGAUGAUUAUUGGAGGUAGAGCACUGUUUGGACGAGGGGCCCCUCUCGGGUUACCGAAUUCAGACAAACUCCGAAUGCCAAUUAAUUUAACUUGGGAGUCAGAACAUGGGUGAUAAGGUCCGUGUUCGAAAGGGAAACAGCCCAGACCACCAGCUAAGGUCCCAAAAUAUAUGUUAAGUGGAAAAGGAUGUGGCGUUGCCCAGACAACUAGGAUGUUGGCUUAGAAGCAGCCAUCAUUUAAAGAGUGCGUAAUAGCUCACUAGUCGAGUGACACUGCGCCGAAAAUGUACCGGGGCUAAACAUAUUACCGAAGCUGUGGAUUGUCCUUUGGACAAUGGUAGGAGAGCGUUCUAAGGGCGUUGAAGCAUGAUCGUAAGGACAUGUGGAGCGCUUAGAAGUGAGAAUGCCGGUGUGAGUAGCGAAAGACGGGUGAGAAUCCCGUCCACCGAUUGACUAAGGUUUCCAGAGGAAGGCUCGUCCGCUCUGGGUUAGUCGGGUCCUAAGCUGAGGCCGACAGGCGUAGGCGAUGGAUAACAGGUUGAUAUUCCUGUACCACCUAUAAUCGUUUUAAUCGAUGGGGGGACGCAGUAGGAUAGGCGAAGCGUGCGAUUGGAUUGCACGUCUAAGCAGUAAGGCUGAGUAUUAGGCAAAUCCGGUACUCAUUAAGGCUGAGCUGUGAUGGGGAGAAGACAUUGUGUCUUCGAGUCGUUGAUUUCACACUGCCGAGAAAAGCCUCUAGAUAGAAAAUAGGUGCCCGUACCGCAAACCGACACAGGUAGUCAAGAUGAGAAUUCUAAGGUGAGCGAGCGAACUCUCGUUAAGGAACUCGGCAAAAUGACCCCGUAACUUCGGGAGAAGGGGUGCUCUUUAGGGUUAACGCCCAGAAGAGCCGCAGUGAAUAGGCCCAAGCGACUGUUUAUCAAAAACACAGGUCUCUGCUAAACCGUAAGGUGAUGUAUAGGGGCUGACGCCUGCCCGGUGCUGGAAGGUUAAGAGGAGUGGUUAGCUUCUGCGAAGCUACGAAUCGAAGCCCCAGUAAACGGCGGCCGUAACUAUAACGGUCCUAAGGUAGCGAAAUUCCUUGUCGGGUAAGUUCCGACCCGCACGAAAGGCGUAACGAUUUGGGCACUGUCUCAA